UAUGGUUUCGGGCUGGAUAAAUGCCCCAUAACCCAAAUCCGGAAAGGCCCAAAAGUACCUUUGCUUCCUUACAAAUAAUACUAAUCGUAGCAUCAGCAUUGUGUGCAGUGCCUCCAAGAUCAACGGUCAUCCUCUGUUGGCGCGCACCAAUCAGAGAAAGUUGAUAUUGAAAUGUACACGCAAAUAUAGGCUAAGACGAUGGAGGCCUCCAGCUGAGCCAUUAAAAUCUGCUUAUCUAUCAGAUUUCAACUUUUCAUGACAGUUCCACUUGGAUGCAUGUGACCGUCCUCCAAAUGUGAGUGGUUCUUACUUCUACCAAGGAUGACUACAGAAAUGCUGCAUUCUGAUGCAUUGUAAUUGUUCGUCUUUCUAUUAACCUUCUUUUAAAUUCCAAUACAAUUAGUUUAA
This is a long non-coding RNA of Quercus lobata, 408 nucleotides long. RefSeq lists it as uncharacterized. The record is from RefSeq and is a predicted model, not a curated record. The transcript is spliced from 2 exons. Lineage: Eukaryota; Viridiplantae; Streptophyta; Magnoliopsida; Fagales; Fagaceae.